This 242-nucleotide ribosomal RNA is filed under the name uncultured bacterium. RNAcentral describes it as "partial 16S ribosomal RNA". It matches the Rfam family "Bacterial small subunit ribosomal RNA", at positions 111 to 354 of the family's 1533-position model. The record is from RNAcentral.
UAACGCGUGAGGAACCUGCUUCCANAGGGGGACAACAGUUGGAAACGACUGCUAAUACCGCAUGAUGCGUUGGAGCCGCAUGACUCUGACGUCAAAGAUUUAUCGCUGGAAGAUGGCCUCGCGUCUGAUUAGCUAGUUGGUGAGGUAACGGCCCACCAAGGCGACGAUCAGUAGCCGGACUGAGAGGUUGGCCGGCCACAUUGGGACUGAGAUACGGCCCAGACUCCUACGGAAGGCAGCAG